Molecule: transfer RNA, 68 nt
Filed under: Marmota monax (woodchuck)
Lineage: Eukaryota; Metazoa; Chordata; Mammalia; Rodentia; Sciuridae
Description: tRNA.Ala
Source: RNAcentral
GGAUUGUGGCUCAGGGGCAGAGCACUCACCUAGCAUGCGCGAGGACCUGGGUUCAAUCCUCAGCACCA